This 999-nucleotide ribosomal RNA is filed under the name Triticum aestivum (bread wheat). RNAcentral describes it as "partial small subunit ribosomal RNA". Lineage: Eukaryota; Viridiplantae; Streptophyta; Magnoliopsida; Poales; Poaceae. The record is from RNAcentral.
AUGAUCGUGCCGCCACCGGCCCCACCGCCGCCCCUCGUCGAGCCCAAGCCCAAGCCCAAGCCUGAGCCAAAUCCCACGCGCAAGCGGUCACCGCUGCUCCCCACUUGGCCGAAGGAGUCCUAUUUGUGGACCGGCCAGUCCUGUGAGUGGGUGAGCGCGCCUCCCUACCACUACGCCGCCAUGCAGGAAAAAGAGGCGAUGUUGCGCCAUGACGAGGAGGCUUUGCGACUUGAGGAGGAGGAGGAGGAGGAGGAGGAGGAGGAGGAGGAGGAGCGUGCCCGCCUUGCUGCUAUGUCGUCGCCACAGCAGACGCUGGAGGAGGCUGCGCUGGCGGCCUAUCAAGCCGCAUCCGGUUGGGCUGGGCCUCCCCCCGUCUUCAUUGACCUCACCGGCGGCGAGGACGACGACGACAAGGGCAAGGCGCCAGUUGAUCAGUUGGUCAGUAGUAGUAGUUGUGUGCCACCACACUUUGGCUCCUCCGCCCUCUGCUCUGCUCUGCUCGGCAGCCGAAUCUCCCUCCGCCCGCCCGCCCGUGGUCAGGUGAGAAACCUCGCCCCUCCCCCAGCCAUCGCUCCUCCAUUUUGCUCGCUCCAUUCCCGUUUUUUGCUGCUGUUGGCGCGUCCGGAUUGGGAUGAUCUGGUAACUGGGUUCCUACGCCCCGGAUCCUCAGAAACCCUCGGCACCUUGCCCCUUUGCCAGAGGAUGCCGUUAACUAAGGUGCACAAACGUGGGGCUAUAAGCCGUUCCAUUGACAUUGGUAGCUUCUCUGGAUACGGAGAACUGAAUCAAGCUUUGGCCCACAUGUUUGGCAUGGAAGGGCAACCCGAAGAUCGACAGAGUAUAGGUCGUUGGAAGUUUAUCUACCAGGAUUAUGAGGGUGACUUCCUAUUUGUCGGUGAUGACCCAUGGGAGGAGUUUGUGAUCAUCGUCAAGUCCAUUUGGAUCCUGUCACCUCAAGAGGUUCUUCAACCGAUGUUUCCGGGUGGUGAUUUAACAUAA